AUUGAACGCUGGAGGUAUGCUUAACACAUGCAAGUCGAACGCGAACGUUCCUUCGGGAAUAAGUAGAGUGGCGGACGGGUGAGUAACGCGUAGGAAUCUACCUAAGUGUGGGGGAUAACAUGAAGAAAUUCAUGCUAAUACCGCAUACGCCCCACGGGGUAAAGAGGGCCUCUUCUUGAAAGCUCUUGCAUUUAGAUGAGCCUGCGUCGGAUUAGCUAGUUGGCGGGGUAAUGGCCCACCAAGGCGACGAUCCGUAGCUGGUCUGAGAGGAUGAUCAGCCACACUGGGACUGAGACACGGCCCAGACUCCUACGGGAGGCAGCAGUGGGGAAUAUUGGACAAUGGGCGCAAGCCUGAUCCAGCAAUACCUCGUGUGUGAAGAAGGCCCUAGGGUUGUAAAGCACUUUCAAUUGGGACGAAGGGAGUAAGUUUAAUACGCUUAUUUCUUGACGGUACCUUUAGAAGAAGCACCGGCUAACUCCG
RNAcentral lists this ribosomal RNA (483 nucleotides) under uncultured Gammaproteobacteria bacterium. Its description in RNAcentral is "bacterial SSU rRNA". It matches the Rfam family "Bacterial small subunit ribosomal RNA", at positions 30 to 505 of the family's 1533-position model. Lineage: Bacteria; Pseudomonadati; Pseudomonadota; Gammaproteobacteria. The record is from RNAcentral.